CCCAAUCCUGACACAGGGAGGUAGUGACAAUAAAUAACAAUGCCGGGCUUUUCAAGUCUGGCAAUUGGAAUGAGAACAAUUUAAAUCCCUUAACGAGGAUCAAUUGGAGGGCAAGUCUGGUGCCAGCAGCCGCGGUAAUUCCAGCUCCAAUAGCGUAUAUUAAAGUUGUUGCAGUUAAAAAGCUCGUAGUUGGAGUUCAGAUUGAGCUCGGCCGGUCGGCCUAAUUGGUCAGAACUGGUUGACUCUGUCUUGUUUGUGGAUCCCUCCGGAGUUAACUCUUCGGAUGUGGAGUCCACAUCGUUUACCUUGAAAAAAUUAGAGUGUUCAAAGCAGGCGUUUGCUUGAAUAUAUUAGCAUGGAAUAAUGGAAUAGGACGCUGGUUCUAUUUUGUUGGUUUUGAGAACCAGAGUAAUGAUUAAUAGGGACAGUUGGGGGCAUUCAUAUUUCAUUGUCAGAGGUGAAAUUCUUGGAUUUAUGAAAGAUGAACUUCUGCGAAAGCAUUUGCCAAGGAUGUUUUCAUUAAUCAAGAACGAAAGUUAGGGGAUCGAAGACGAUCAGAUACCGUCGUAGUCUUAACCAUAAACUAUGCCGACUAGGGAUUGGACGUGGUUUGUUCAUUGACCCGUUCAGCACCUUACGAGAAAUCAAAGUCUUUGGGUUCCGGGGGGAGUAUGGUCGCAAGGCUGAAACUUAAAGGAAUUGACGGAGG
Molecule: ribosomal RNA, 709 nt
Filed under: uncultured marine Telonemida
Lineage: Eukaryota; Telonemia; Telonemida
Description: SSU rRNA
Rfam family: Eukaryotic small subunit ribosomal RNA
Source: RNAcentral